GACAGAGGGUGCAAACGUUGUUCGGAAUUACUGGGCGUAAAGCGAGUGUAGGCGGUUUGGUAAGUCGGAUGUGAAAGCCCCGGGCUCAACCCGGGAAGUGCACUCGAUACUGCCAAGCUAGAGUAUCGGAGAGGUUGGUGGAAUUCCGAGUGUAGAGGUGAAAUUCGUAGAUAUUCGGAAGAACACCAGUGGCGAAGGCGACUUACUGGACACAUAUUGACGCUGAGGUGCGAAAGCGUGGGGAGCAAACAGG
This 253-nucleotide ribosomal RNA is filed under the name uncultured bacterium. RNAcentral's name for it is "partial 16S ribosomal RNA". It matches the Rfam family "Bacterial small subunit ribosomal RNA", at positions 524 to 776 of the family's 1533-position model. The record is from RNAcentral.